AGCAGUAGCCGCGGGGAAUACGAAGGGGGCUAGCGUUGUUCGGAUUUACUGGGCGUAAAGCGCACGUAGGCGGAUCGAUCAGUCAGGGGUGAAAUCCCAGAGCUCAACUCUGGAACUGCCUUUGAUACUGUCGAUCUGGAGUAUGGAAGAGGUGAGUGGAAUUCCGAGUGUAGAGGUGAAAUUCGUAGAUAUUCGGAGGAACACCAGUGGCGAAGGCGGCUCACUGGUCCAUUACUGACGCUGAGGUGCGAAAGCGUGGGGAGCAAACAGGAUUAGAUACCCCUGUAGUCCCUGUCUCUUAAC
RNAcentral lists this ribosomal RNA (303 nucleotides) under uncultured bacterium. RNAcentral's name for it is "partial 16S ribosomal RNA". It matches the Rfam family "Bacterial small subunit ribosomal RNA", at positions 507 to 807 of the family's 1533-position model. The record is from RNAcentral.